Molecule: small RNA, 550 nt
Filed under: Pan troglodytes (chimpanzee)
Lineage: Eukaryota; Metazoa; Chordata; Mammalia; Primates; Hominidae
Description: processed transcript
Source: RNAcentral
UGCACCGCGCGGGACAAGUCGCCGGCGGCGCCCGACGGAGCAGUGGCUUGGAUGAGGUCAUCUUCUCCUAUGUGCUUGGGGUCCUGGAGGACCUGGGCCCCUCGGGCCCAUCAGAGGAGAACUUCGAUAUGGAGGCUUUCACUGAGAUGAUGGAGGCCUAUGUGCCUGGCUUCGCCCACAUCCCCAGGGGCACAAUAGGGGACAUGAUGCAGAAGCUCUCAGGGCAGCUGAGCGAUGCCAGGAACAAAGAGAACCUGCAACCGCAGAGCUCUGGUGUCCAAGGUCAGGUGCCCAUCUCCCCAGAGCCCCUGCAGCGGCCCGAAAUGCUCAAAGAAGAGACUCGGUCUUCGGCUGCUGCUGCUGCAGACACCCAAGAUGAGGCAACUGGCGCUGAGGAGGAGCUUCUGCCAGGGGUGGAUGUACUCCUGGAGGUGUUCCCUACCUGUUCGGUGGAGCAGGCCCAGUGGGUGCUGGCCAAAGCUCGGGGGGACUUGGAAGAAGCUGUGCAGAUGCUGGUAGAGGGAAAGGAAGAGGGGCCUGCAGCCUGGGA